AGCGAACGCUGGCGGCAGGCUUAACACAUGCAAGUCGAACGGGCGUAGCAAUACGUCAGUGGCAGACGGGUGAGUAACGCGUGGGAACGUACCUUUUGGUUCGGAACAACCCAGGGAAACUUGGGCUAAUACCGGAUAAGCCCUUACGGGGAAAGAUUUAUCGCCAAAAGAUCGGCCCGCGUCUGAUUAGCUAGUUGGUGAGGUAACGGCUCACCAAGGCGACGAUCAGUAGCUGGUCUGAGAGGANGAUCAGCCACAUUGGGACUGAGACACGGCCCAAACUCCUACGGGAGGCAGCAGUGGGGAAUAUUGGACAAUGGGCGCAAGCCUGAUCCAGCCAUGCCGCGUGGGUGAUGACGGCCCUAGGGUUGUAAAGCUCUUUCGGCGGGACGAUAAUGACGGUACCCGCAGAAGAAGCCCCGGCUAACUUCGUGCCAGCCGCCGCUGUAAC
Molecule: ribosomal RNA, 451 nt
Filed under: uncultured bacterium
Lineage: Bacteria
Description: bacterial SSU rRNA
Rfam family: Bacterial small subunit ribosomal RNA
Source: RNAcentral